UAUUUUUGGCAUGUUUUAUUUAUUCUGAGUGAAAGACAAGCCUCCUACUUAUGCGCCUCACAAACACACACACACGUUUCUCAAAAAUAUACAUUCUAAGCAAAUACUGACAUUGAUCAAAUGAACCUCAAUACAGCCAUUUCCCAAGCAGAAAGACAGCCCCCUGCCUUGUACCCUGUGGCCCUGGGAAAGCCCCAUAGCUGCCUGCCACCGUGUUUCAUGGCAGGUAUGUUUUAUGACGUGUAAUGGUGGUUUUUCCAAAAGCAUUUCAGUUUUACAAAAAUUUAAAAUCUGUGUUCAAUAAACAGGCAGUUCGGUUAUGACGGCAGAUAUCCUGCAAAUAACCUCUUUGUAAGCUGCUUUAAUAAAAACAACUAUUAAACAUGACACACUUGUAAAAGCAGCUCCUCUUCCCUCGACUGGUGCACAGUUCGUAAUUCAUUAAAAUGCUGGUUAGAAGGCACGACCCCUUCAUUGUCUCCACAACAUUUAUCUGAAUUUGGUCAAAGAACACUCAGAGUCAGCCAGCAAAUUAACUGCUGACAGUGCUGACUGAUAAUUUACUGCUGGUUCAAAUUUCUACACAUAGUUCAUGAGUGAGGCAAAGUGAUGGGUGCUAGAUGCUGUGUGCUACAUCCCAGUCUUUCCAUGUCCCUGUUCCCCACAAGAAAACAAAGCAAUACUUAAAAAAGAAAUAUAUAUAGCAUUAAAAAAAGUGAAUAUUGACAAGCACUCAGUACUAAGAUAGAGUCCAAAACUGAAUACACGGCUAAUAGCUGCUUGAAAAGUUAGAUAACCUUUGUCCUGUAUAUAAUGAAGCUACUGCCAGCAGUCAGUUAGCUUAGUUUAGCACAAACCCUGGAAACAAGAGAAGGUAAUUUACCUCCACUGUCAACAAUUCUGUUUUAUGUGGUUUAAUGAAUAAUGAAGACACUACUGAGUUAUUCUCUGAGCUUGUUUUCAGUCUACAUGCUAGGCUAACGAGCUGCCAGUUGUAGCUUCUAUUUCAUGUACAAACAAAAGCAUGAUAUUAAUGUCAAAGAAAGCAAGUAAACACAUUUAAAUGUUGAACUAGUGCUUGACUCUUUAGGGUGACAGAAUGUUGAUAAAAAAUAAAAGUGCAUUUGUACAUUAAAAAUAGCGCUUCUUUGCUAACCUUGAAAAUCAAAGUACUGCUAAAGUGAAUCUUUGCUUGGACCUUUUUUAUGUAUUCUUAGUGCAUUCAACAUGAAAAUCUAUUACCUUCACUAAAGGAAAUCAAGAAAUGGGGCUGUGGUGGUGAUAUAUUAUUAUUCUUUUAAAAGAAACAACCUUCUUUGAAUCAUAUUUCUCAACAUACUGCAAUUAUACCACAAAUACAGUCAUAUUUGUUUCUUUGAUUUUUGUCAGAAAGCUUUCAUAUUUGGCUGCUCAGACCUCUCUCUGCAUAUAACUUUUAGUUAUGUAGUCGUAGUUGUGCAGACACGUUUGACAGUGAUGGGAAUCAAGUAACAUUCUGCUGCAGGUAACACUGUCAAUCCACACUGCCUGGUGUACGGUGGCUGCCUGGUGUACGGUGGCUGCCUGCCUGGUGUACGGUGGCUGCCUGGUGUACGGUGGCUGCCUGGUGUACGGUGGCUGCCUGGUGUACGGUGGCUGCCUGGUGUACGGGGACUUGCAACCUAAAACAAGCCAGUUUCAGCACACACUACACACACGUCUUAAAGCACUCUCAGCCUACCUACGUAGAUACAGGCAAACAUUUCCAAACAGACCACAGGAUUAAUUGUAAAAUUAAAAGCACUCUUUCCUUUAUAAUAUGUACAAAGCAUCAAUCAAUGAACAGCAAUUGUCAGGCUCUAUCCAGAUGGUAUUAAUAAAAAGCAUCAUUUUUCUCUCUUUUUUUGUUGUCUUCGUUGGAAGGGUGUGGCAACAGCAGUGUCUGAACACGUCGGUUUCUAUCU
Astatotilapia calliptera (eastern happy) is the source of this 1943-nucleotide long non-coding RNA. The record is from Ensembl. Lineage: Eukaryota; Metazoa; Chordata; Actinopteri; Cichliformes; Cichlidae.